This 220-nucleotide long non-coding RNA is filed under the name Helianthus annuus (common sunflower). RNAcentral describes it as "hypothetical non coding rna". The record is from RNAcentral. Lineage: Eukaryota; Viridiplantae; Streptophyta; Magnoliopsida; Asterales; Asteraceae.
AUGUUGUCCAUUGUUGACGAAAUUGACCUUCAAGUUGUGGAACAAGAUGGCAUCAGUGGAGGCAAGGCAAGGUUCUAGGGAAUUUGGUUUAGUUUUAUUAAUUAACAACAUAAGGAAGUUACUACAACACUACUAAUUAGCUAUUAGACAAUAAAUGCAAGGGUAUUUUGGACAAUGACAAAAUGUUUAUCUACAUAAUAUAUAUUUUGGGAUUUAUCUU